GAUGAACGCUGGCGGCGUGCCUAAUACAUGCAAGUCGAGCGAACAGACGAGGAGCUUGCUUCUCUGAUGUUAGCGGCGGACGGGUGAGUAACACGUGGAUAACCUACCUAUAAGACUGGGAUAACUUCGGGAAACCGUAGCUAAUACCGGAUAAUAUUUUGAACCGCAUGGUUCAAUAGUGAAAGACGGUCUUGCUGUCACUUAUAGAUGGAUCCGCGCUGCAUUAGCUAGUUGGUAAGGUAACGGCUUACCAAGGCAACGAUGCAUAGCCGACCUGAGAGGGUGAUCGGCCACACUGGAACUGAGACACGGUCCAGACUCCUACGGGAGGCAGCAGUAGGGAAUCUUCCGCAAUGGGCGAAAGCCUGACGGAGCAACGCCGCGUGAGUGAUGAAGGUCUUCGGAUCGUAAAACUCUGUUAUUAGGGAAGAACAUAUGUGUAAGUAACUGUGCACAUCUUGACGGUACCUAAUCAGAAAGCCACGGCUAACUACGUG
RNAcentral lists this ribosomal RNA (497 nucleotides) under uncultured bacterium. Its description in RNAcentral is "partial 16S ribosomal RNA". It matches the Rfam family "Bacterial small subunit ribosomal RNA", at positions 28 to 507 of the family's 1533-position model. The record is from RNAcentral.